GAUUAGCAUACCCGUGUAGUCCACGCCGUAAACGAUGAGUGCUAGGUGUUAGGCCCUUUCCGGGGCUUAGUGCCGCAGCUAACGCAUUAAGCACUCCGCCUGGGGAGUACGACCGCAAGGUUGAAACUCAAAGGAAUUGACGGGGGCCCGCACAAGCGGUGGAGCAUGUGGUUUAAUUCGAAGCAACGCGAAGAACCUUACCAGGUCUUGACAUCCCGAUGCUAUUCCUAGAGAUAGGAAGUUUCUUCGGAACAUCGGUGAGAGGUGGUGCAUGGC
This 276-nucleotide ribosomal RNA is filed under the name rumen bacterium enrichment culture clone RDX8AH2. Its description in RNAcentral is "partial 16S ribosomal RNA". It matches the Rfam family "Bacterial small subunit ribosomal RNA", at positions 776 to 1049 of the family's 1533-position model. The record is from RNAcentral.